RNAcentral lists this ribosomal RNA (495 nucleotides) under uncultured bacterium. Its description in RNAcentral is "partial 16S ribosomal RNA". It matches the Rfam family "Bacterial small subunit ribosomal RNA", at positions 28 to 505 of the family's 1533-position model. The record is from RNAcentral.
GAUGAACGCUGGCGGCGUGCCUAAUACAUGCCAGUCGAGCGAACGGACGAGAAGCUUGCUUCUCUGAUGUUAGCGGCGGACGGGUGAGUAACACGUGGAUAACCUACCUAUAAGACUGGGAUAACUUCGGGAAACCGGAGCUAAUACCGGAUAAUAUUUUGAACCGCAUGGUUCAAAAGUGAAAGACGGUCUUGCUGUCACUUAUAGAUGGAUCCGCGCUGCAUUAGCUAGUUGGUAAGGUAACGGCUUACCAAGGCAACGAUGCAUAGCCGACCUGAGAGGGUGAUCGGCGACACUGGAACUGAGACACGGGCCAGACUGCGACGGGAGGCAGCAGUAGGGAAUCUUCCGCAAUGGGCGAAAGCCUGACGGAGCAACGCCGCGUGAGUGAUGAAGGUAUUCGGAUCGUAAAACUCUGUGAUUAGGGAAGAACAUAUGUGUAAGUAACUGUGCACAUCUUGACGGGACCUAAUCAGAAAGCCACGGCUAACUACG